Molecule: ribosomal RNA, 497 nt
Filed under: uncultured bacterium
Lineage: Bacteria
Description: partial 16S ribosomal RNA
Rfam family: Bacterial small subunit ribosomal RNA
Source: RNAcentral
GAUGAACGCUGGCGGCGUGCCUAAUACAUGCAAGUCGAGCGAACGGACGAGAAGCUUGCUUCUCUGAUGUUAGCGGCGGACGGGUGAGUAACACGUGGAUAACCUACCUAUAAGACUGGGAUAACUUCGGGAAACCGGAGCUAAUACCGGAUAAUAUUUUGAACCGCAUGGUUCAAAAGUGAAAGACGGUCUUGCUGUCACUUAUAGAUGGAUCCGCGCUGCAUUAGCUAGUUGGUAAGGUAACGGCUUACCAAGGCAGCGAUGCAUAGCCGACCUGAGAGGGUGAUCGGCCACACUGGAACUGAGACACGGUCCAGACUCCUACGGGAGGCAGCAGUAGGGAAUCUUCCGCAAUGGGCGAAAGCCUGACGGAGCAACGCCGCGUGAGUGAUGAAGGUCUUCGGAUCGUAAAACUCUGUUAUUAGGGAAGAACAUAUGUGUAAGUAACUGUGCACAUCUUGACGGUACCUAAUCAGAAAGCCACGGCUAACUACGUG